UGGGAAGGAUGAUGGUUCAUAUGGGCAGA
This 29-nucleotide non-coding RNA is filed under the name Rattus norvegicus (Norway rat). The record is from RNAcentral. Lineage: Eukaryota; Metazoa; Chordata; Mammalia; Rodentia; Muridae.